CGGGUGAGUGACACGUAUCCAACCUGCCGUCUACUCUUGGCCAGCCUUCUGAAAGGAAGAUUAAUCCAGGAUGGCAUCAUGAGUUCACAUGUCCGCAUGAUUAAAGGUAUUUUCCGGUAGACGAUGGGGAUGCGUUCCAUUAGAUAGUAGGCGGGGUAACGGCCCACCUAGUCUUCGAUGGAUAGGGGUUCUGAGAGGAAGGUCCCCCACAUUGGAACUGAGACACGGUCCAA
RNAcentral lists this ribosomal RNA (233 nucleotides) under uncultured bacterium. RNAcentral describes it as "partial 16S ribosomal RNA". It matches the Rfam family "Bacterial small subunit ribosomal RNA", at positions 103 to 334 of the family's 1533-position model. The record is from RNAcentral.